RNAcentral lists this unclassified non-coding RNA (253 nucleotides) under plant metagenome. Its description in RNAcentral is "partial contains small subunit ribosomal RNA, internal transcribed spacer 1, and 5.8S ribosomal RNA". The stretch from base 205 to 253 matches the Rfam family "5.8S ribosomal RNA", at positions 1 to 49 of the family's 154-position model. The record is from RNAcentral.
UUUCCGUAGGUGAACCUGCGGAAGGAUCAUUAUUGGAUUUUGAAACUUCAGGCUGCUGCUGGCUCUCCUCGGAGGGCAUGUGCACGCUUGUUGUCCAUUAUUUCUCCCACUGUGCACAAAUUGUAGACCUUUCAGUAGGCCUAUGUUGUUUUUCACAAUCUCUGAAUGUAAUAGAAUGGUUUUGAAUCUCGGGAAAUACAAUACAACUUUCAGCAACGGAUCUCUUGGCUCUCGCAUCGGUGAAGAACGCAGC